AAGCUUGAACCAGAGAGGAAAGUUCAAUUGGCUAAUGAACUUGGCUUGCAGCCUAGACAAAUUGCUAUUUGGUUUCAAAAUAGGCGCGCUCGAUACAAAACUAAAGUACUUGAGAAGGAUUAUGAUGCUUUGAAAGCUAGCUUUGAUAAGCUUAAAGCUGAUUAUGACACCCUUUUCAAAGAGAAUGAGGAUUUGAGAAAUGAGGUCCAUUUGCUUACA
RNAcentral lists this unclassified non-coding RNA (219 nucleotides) under Hevea brasiliensis (rubber tree). The record is from RNAcentral. Lineage: Eukaryota; Viridiplantae; Streptophyta; Magnoliopsida; Malpighiales; Euphorbiaceae.